GAAUCAUUGCCUCUGUUUGCCAGUAGUGCGAGGGAACGUCGUUACCGAGGUCCGAAUGCUUAAAAUUUUUGUCGAACACAGGUGUCUCCACUUCGUCCACGAUCAGAGAAUCUUUGUACAAUGAAGGAAUUGUUUAGACCAGGACAGAGGCCUCCAGAAUUCAAACUUCAACCAUUAAAUCACAGAGAAAAGAGACAGACAUGAAGAUGUUUCCAGAAGUGCUGUCAGUUUCGCAAGAACUGCGUCUGAUGUUGCGCUUUGACGGUUAUCCCGUUACGCCAGGGAGUCAAGAGUGCUUGGAGAGGCGUUCACAGAACCUGUAAACCAAAGCUGGGGCUCUCGCACUUUGUCUGCUUCACGUAAGAUUACAACUCGCAGUCCCUUUUCUUUUAAUGUUGGCAUUUGUUUAAUAUAGUUCUGUUGUUGUAGUUGUGUCAUUUAAUAUCUGUCGCACGUACAUCUUUAUAUACAACACAAAUCACACAAUCAUUUCUUUUGCAUUUAUUUACUUGUGUUUUAUUUGUGCUGCUGCCUAACUUCAGCAAUCACACCAGUGUAAAAUUCUUUCAACACAAUGUGAAGCUUUGCCUGGAAGUGGAAAGUUUAGACAUGGCUCCUUGUUGAUACGGCACAAUCUCGUCUCCAGCACACGGGCGCAGAUGAACCUCAUCUUGUUUUGCAGUGGAGACACUGAAAUUCACAGAAAAAGACACUGACAACAGACUAACGACAAUCAUUUUGUCUAACUUUCCAAUUAAUCAACCAUUCUUAUGUAAAGACAGGUGUUUUUUUUUGUUACCUGAUGUGUG
Long non-coding RNA from Lates calcarifer (barramundi perch), 809 nucleotides. RefSeq lists it as uncharacterized. The transcript is spliced from 4 exons. The record is from RefSeq and is a predicted model, not a curated record. NCBI's taxonomy places the organism in Eukaryota, Metazoa, Chordata, Actinopteri, Centropomidae.